UGGGGAAUUUUGGACAAUGGGCGCAAGCCUGAUCCAGCCAUGCCGCGUGAGUGAAGAAGGCCUUCGGGUUGUAAAGCUCUUUCGGUUGGGAAGAAAUUGCCUGGGUUAAUACCUCAGGUAGAUGACGGUACCAGCAUAAGAAGCACCGGCUGACUACGUGCCAGCAGCCGCGGUAAUUCGUAGGGUGCGAGCGUUAAUCGGAAUUACUGGGCGUAAAGCGUGCGCAGGCGGUGAUGUAAGACAGAUGUGAAAUCCCCGGGCUCAACCUGGGAACUGCAUUUGUGACUGUAUAGCUAGAGUACGGCAGAGGGGGAUGGAAUUCCGCGUGUAGCAGUGAAAUGCGUAGAUAUGCGGAGGAACACCGAUGGCGAAGGCAGCCUCCUGGGCUAGUACUGACGCUCAUGCACGAAAGCGUGGGGAGCAAACA
Molecule: ribosomal RNA, 427 nt
Filed under: uncultured bacterium
Lineage: Bacteria
Description: bacterial SSU rRNA
Rfam family: Bacterial small subunit ribosomal RNA
Source: RNAcentral